CCGACACCUCCUCUUCUAUAAUGCUCCCGCCAGUGUCCGUUCUCCGUUGGGUUACCGGCCGCAAACCUGAAAUAUAGCGGAAAAUUGGACUAACCAGAGAAGAUGACCUGGAAUCUGGCAGAUUUAUCUAUGUGAAGGACACAUGACAGGACAAUGUUCCAUGCCACAAUGCCAGGUCAAUCAAGGUGUGGAUGGAGGACCACCAGACCAAGACCCUGUCAUGGCCAGCCAAAUCUCCAGUCCUGAACCCCAUGGAAACCUCUAUAAUGUGAUCAAGAGGAAGAUGGAUGACAAGCCAUAAAACAAAGCCGAGCUUCUUGAAUUUUUGUGCCAGGAGUAGUAUGAAGUCGCCCAACAGCAAUGUGAAAGACUGGUGGAGAGCAUGACAAGACGCAUGAAAGCUGUAAUUGAAAAUCAGGGUUAUUUUACCAAAGAUUGAUUUCUGAACUCUUGCUUACUACAUUAAAACAUUAGUAUUGUGUUGUUUAAAAAAAUAA
This is a long non-coding RNA of Bombina bombina (fire-bellied toad), 497 nucleotides long. RefSeq lists it as uncharacterized. The record is from RefSeq and is a predicted model, not a curated record. The transcript has 2 exons. Lineage: Eukaryota; Metazoa; Chordata; Amphibia; Anura; Bombinatoridae.